Molecule: ribosomal RNA, 465 nt
Filed under: uncultured bacterium
Lineage: Bacteria
Description: bacterial SSU rRNA
Rfam family: Bacterial small subunit ribosomal RNA
Source: RNAcentral
CCUACGGGUUGCAGCAGUGGGGAAUAUUGCACAAUGGGCGCAAGCCUGAUGCAGCCAUGCCGCGUGUAUGAAGAAGGCCUUCGGGUUGUAAAGUACUUUCAGCGGGGAGGAAGGUGUUGUGGUUAAUAACCACAGCAAUUGACGUUACCUGCAGAAGAAGCACCGGCUAACUCCGUGCCAGCAGCCGCGGUAAUACGGAGGGUGCAAGCGUUAAUCGGAAUUACUGGGCGUAAAGCGCACGCAGGCGGUCUGUCAAGUCGGAUGUGAAACCCCCGGGCUCAACCUGGGAACUGCAUUCGAAACUGGCAGGCUAGAGUCUUGUAGAGGGGGGUAGAAUUCCAGGUGUGGCGGUGAAAUGCGUAGAGAUCUGGAGGAAUACCGGUGGCGAAGGCGGCCCCCUGGACAAAGACUGACGCUCAGGUGCGAAAGCGUGGGGAGCAAACAGGAUUAGAUACCCGCGUAGUC